RNAcentral lists this small RNA (4218 nucleotides) under Rattus norvegicus (Norway rat). RNAcentral describes it as "uncharacterized LOC108351174". The record is from RNAcentral. Lineage: Eukaryota; Metazoa; Chordata; Mammalia; Rodentia; Muridae.
AUUGCACGCGUACACAUUCUAUUGGCUCUGUUCGUUGAGACAACGCUACCUAAUGUAGUUACUUUGCGUGGGUGUGCUUUUGUGUAUAUUGCUAAGAACAUUUAAGACUUAUUCUCCAUAAAUUUAAAUUAUGUAAUGUGGCAUUUUGAACACUAUGAGGCCAACAAAAGGCAAACAUUUUCUAAGUCCUUUGCCUUACUAGAAAAUAGAUUUAUUAUGUUUCCAAACUCAACAAUGUUCCCUUCAACUCCACAUUAUUGCAUGAGAGAGUAAAAUAGUCUAAAGUAUAGGAGAGGACACCAGAAUAAGAGGACAGAGUAAAGGAAGCCUGUGUAGAAUCACUUUCCUACAUUCCUGGAGGCGUAGAGCUUCUCUUCUGUGGGUGGUAAUUUUCCCUUGGACACUGGAGCGUGGAUAGUUAAGAGUCCUCAUAGCUCAAAGCUGGUUUUAUCCAAACAGAUCAGAAAAACUUUGUGUCCCUUGGGAACAGUUUUACAAUCUUAGCUAUUUGGUAAGCCUAACAGGUGGCUUGCUCUAUGUCUGUGACAACAUCUAAAAGUCCUUAGAUGAGCUGAAAGAGCAAUGGCCACAGUGCAGUCACCUCCUGACAAGUCCCAUUGAAGCUUGAACAACUUUUGAAACUCACAUCUGUCCUCCUCUCUGUCUACUUUUCUCUUUGAGUCUCUUUCAUCGUAUUCUGAACAGUAACCUGUGACCUGCUUUCUGAUAGUUUCUGAUAUACAUUCACCUGCAUUUUCUGUUUCUUUCCUCUCCAUUUCCCUUUGUAUAUAGCUUUUUGCUUGAGCAAAUUUUUGUUUCAAAUCACAGAAAAAGAUGAAAGUGCAUAGCAUUUUUUCUCCAACUGAAGAAAUAUUAAGGGAAACUAAAUUUUAAGUGGGUUCCUGGGGAACACCUAAAUGUCUUUAUCUAUGGCACCUGUUCUCUCUUCUUGUAGCUUUGGAAAAUGAUGAAAAUAUUGACUGAAAUAGCACAACAAUAAUUGGUGAAAUCCUUUUAUAGGCAUUCAUCUUCGAAUUUUACUUUGUAACUCCCCUAUUAUAAAUUGUGGCAUUCUUUUGUCUUUCUUGAUUCUGUGUCACUGAUCAGUUUUCUGUCUGCUUAUCUGUAACUAAAACUAAAAAUGUUCCACGAGGUAGGUCGAUGACAUCACUCACACAUUAUCACCUAGGUAAUGGAAUGAUUACUAUAGCAACAGAGCCUUUAUCUUCCAGUGCCCACAACAUUUUGACAGAUGGGAAAGACUGAAGAUUUAAAACAGGACUUAAAAGUAUUAUAACUUGGUGGCCAUAUCAUGACAGCAGCCUCUUUCUGAUGAGUGAAAGAAAGAAUUACAGUCGACAGCAUGACCACCAGAUCCAGUGUAAAAAUGGUCCCAACUCAGGGUUUGAGGACAGAAGUAAAAGUAGGCAAAGGAAAGCAUGUUGUUCCAGAAUUUGUUAGAAAACUUGAAAUAAAAGAAAAAGCCUAAAAUAUUCUGGAGAAAGAAAAAUAAGUUACAAAGGAAGAGUUACGGUCCACAUCACCUGUAUAAUACUUGGUAGCUGGGCAACCUCGGUGAUUCGCGUGGGCUGGCAUUGUGUUUAUCAAUUUAUACUUGAGAAAAUCAGAAGCACAAGUCCACAUAUACAUGAACAUACUGAUGUCUAUCUAUGCCUCAGUGGGCCUUCUCUUAAAGGUCACAUUUACACAGCUGUAAGUUCAUGAGAGAAUCCAGAGAGGAGUUCUCAUUCUGCUCGUUCCAAUAUAGGAAAGACGUCCUUUGUUGAAAUCUGCCUGGACACUGCUUACGGGGAAGAAGAGUGAUGAUAGUGAGUUGUCAGCUGGUUUCUGUUGGACUACAGCAAGAAACAUGUGUGGGAAUAUACAUUUGCAUUGCCUAUGUGCGUGCUUUAUGCAUAGUUAUCAUUCUGUAAAAGAAGAAAAGUUAUGGAAAUUAGCAUUUCCUAUUGAUAUAAGAUGUGGGCCAUGGCAAUGACUUCUCUCAGAUCCUUGUGCAGAGAAGCAUGAAAUCUUCAGGAUGGAUGCUUGAAAGGUAAAUGAAAUAAAUGGGCAUUGAAAUCUAGAUGGAGCUGAAGAAAUGGAAUCUUUCCAUUUUCUUUCUUUCUGAGUGAGCUCCUGUUUGAAUCAGUUAUCAACAAACUUUGCAUGUAUCACUUCAGACUGAGGUGGACACAUUAUGAUACUUAGUCAUCACUAAAACUCUUAUCAACUAGAGAAAGGCCAUAGAUGCAAAGAGAAAUUAACUUUUUCUUACAUUUUCUUACAGGAAUAAUAGUGACUAAUCUCUCUAUCAGUAUUCAAGGAAUCUGCGGAAAUUCACACUGAACAGAAUUGUCAAUGACUACAACCAAGAAAGCAUGCUACAAGAUGUGGAACCUGGAUCUAUCAAUUUUUUAAAGAUUAUUUCUCAAUAAAUUUGUUUUCAUUCACUUUAUAUCUCAAUCACAGCCCCCCUCCCUCCUCUCUUCCAGCCCCACCCACAUGUACCACCACUUCCCUCAUUACCUCCUUCCCUUCUACUCAAAGAAUGGGUAAACUCCCAUGGGUAAUAAUUUGUCCUGGCACAUCAAACCCCAGCAGGACUAAGAGGAUCCUCUUCCACUGAGGCCAGUCAAGGUAGCCCAGCUACAAGAAAGUGAUCCAAAGGCAGACAGCAUCAUCAGAGACAGCACCCCGCCAUUGCUAUGCAACUCACAUGAAGACCAAGCUGCACAUCAGCUGCAAGGUGUAGGGAACCUAUGUCCAGUUCAUGCAUGUUCUUUGGUUGGUUGUUUAGUCUCUGUGAACCCCCAUGGACAAAGGUUAUUUGACUCUCUAGGUCUUCUUGUGGUGUCUCUGACUUCCUGAAUCCUUUCCUCAACUCUUCUACAAGUCUCCCUGAGCUCAGCCUAAUGUGUGGCUGUGGGUCUCUGCAUCUGUUUCGAUCAGCAGCUGGACGAAGCCCCUCAGAAGACAGUUAUGCUAGGCUCCUUUCUGCAUUCACACAAAUAUUAACAGUGUCAGGCCUUAGCUCUCUCCCAUAAAUCUUAAUAAGCCAGACCUCCUCUGCACAAGAUAUAUGAGUCUGUACAAGGCAAAAGAGGUUUAGUGGAAUGAAUGUUGACUGUUAGAUGUAAAUAUUCUUGAGUAUCAUUUGAGAGUUCUUUUCUGCAAUGAUAAAAUAGAACUGUAUUGCUUUUGUUGGGCAAGCCUUGCCAGCUUCCAUGUAGACUCUGCCACUGAAUUACAGGCACCUUCCUGAGAUAAUUUGUAAUGACUGAUUUAACAAGAUUGAUAUACAACACCAAAUGUAUGAAAGCUGCAAUUGCCUGCAUGCGACAACGUGUAUUUCCCCCACACAGGAUGAGGUUCAUUUGGCAAUUAACCCACUAUUUUAUCAAUAUGUGUCAUAUCAUGGUUCACAGACUUUCCAUAUUAAAACACUAAAACCUUUAUGGAAAAUGCUUAUCAAAUUUUGAAAGCAAACCUGCAAAGAUAAAAACAAGGACAAAACAAAACAAACCUCCUGAAGGUCAUUUGAUCUUUAAUGCCUAACUUUAUGAUAAGAACAAGUUUCUGUCUCCCAUUUCCCUUCAAACUGAAUCAGUACAUGCCAUCUGGCUCACCUUUCAUGUUUUAUUGAUGUCUUUCAUUGUUGAUGUCAAAAGUACAAGGACUUUUUAAAUUUAAGAUUAUACCUCUUUAUGUAAUGAUGAGGCUAAAUGGCUCUGAUUAUUUAAUUGCGAGGAAUGGUGUGCAACUCCCAUGCCCUCUUCAUAAAUUGGGUGAGGAAAAUACUUCAAACAAGUGGAAAACAUCAAUUAAUCCUAUUUUUAUAUUUAUCUUAUUGAAACUUAGUCCAGGAAGUUUGCUGCUUGAAUGCCCCCUCUGAAUUAGUCAAAUGGGAAAAGUUUACCCUCAGUAUGGUUUGUUAUUUUUCAAAUGUUACAAUAAACAAAUGCAAAGUUGACACAAUAUAAGAAAUAGAAAAGAAUCCUUUAAGACGUUUACUUAAAAAUAGUUCAUUUAAUACUCUUGCAUGAUUUUCUCUUUUGAAAACAUGUUUCAUUAAAUCUAGGACACAAGUUACCUUGAAGAAACUGAGGGAUUUAUCCUCAAGUUGGGACAUCAGUUUGAAAUUGUUGGAAAACUAGCUUCUGAGAGUUGGCCAUUGUUUAACGUGAAUACCAACAUUUCUUUAUUAUUGUUUUUAUCCUU